GGAAAUAAUAAUUUUAAGAAAAAAUACUUGAGUAAAGCAUGAGAAGGGUAAUGAAGGAGUUUCCAGGGGAUAAAUUGGAGGUGGUAGAAAAAUUUGUGAAGAAAACUGAAAAUAGAUAAUGGGAAAUUUUUGAGUGGCAAAGAGAGAAAAAAGAUCAAAAUAAACACUUACGGAGAGAAAGAAGUGCAGGAAAGAGGGGUGACCUGGAGAGGAAUGCAAAGCGUCAUUUGAAUCAAAAGGGGACUGUGAAUGUCUCAGUGAAGGAAAAUGUACAGAAGCGAGAAGAAAGGAUUGAAACACCAGGAAUUAUGGAAAGAUAGGAUGUAAUCGGAAAUACAAGGUGGAAGAUAGAAUCGGAAAGAAACAGUGGAAAUCAAGAGUGAAUGCUGUCUUGGAAGGAUGUGGACAGUUUCAGUGGUUGGGAAGAUCACGAGAGAAUGGUGAGCUGUAAGUGCAGGCGAAUAUAUGGAAAGCAAUUCCUUGGACUAAUAUGGAGCCCAUACAGGUACAUGGACCUUGGACAAAGUCGGGAAGACCAACUGGAACAGAAAGAGAUGCAAUCAUUUUACCUAAAUUCAUUUAUUGACCCACAAGGUUUCCAGAAUACUGAGCUUGAAAAUUCGUUACAAGAAGGAUCAGAGAUGCAAACCAUGCCUUUGGUUUGAAGAAGCAUACAGACAAAAAUAAAAGAAAACAACACAGAAGUAACUUGUUUCUUCUUGCAAGGCAUUUUGAGAUCUGAAGGAUCAAACUCUCACCCAGAAACAUACACUUGAGCAUACAGAAGUUGUUUCAGACAGAAAAUAUACAUUGAUGUCAUCUCAGAAACUGGAAGGAAAGGAACCAGAGACUGCAAGAAUAAGCUGUGUUAGAGGCUCUUACAAAGAGGUCCAAUGGAAGGAAUAUUUGUUGGGAUGUGGUUCUGAAAUGGCUGUAUGAAAUCGCAGGGUUUCUGGAUGAUAUUUCAUGAAAUGGGUGAACUAAUCUAACAGCUUGCUUCUGACAAGUGGGCUUCCCCAGAAAGAAAGGGGCUGAAGGGGCCAGAGGAGGGCUCAGCUUUCUCAGCUGAGACUGAUGGUCAACCAUGGAUCAUCUCUUUUACUCCUGUGGCUACAUGGCAUUUCAUUGCUGUGAACAUCUGGACAGAACCUGCUGCAAAUCUUUUUCGAUUGCAACUCCAAUGAUUUGGGCAAAUGAGAAAAGGAAAACUGAAAAUAGAGGGGCUAGGAAGGCAGAAGUUUGCACUGACAAAGAAGAUCUAGCACUGCAGUUUACAUUUCUGUACUCUGCUACCAAGUAUUGUUUGCUUCUUAAUGGUUUUCUUUGUUGCAUACAGAUCUGACUGCUCUGCUCUGAAGUCUACCCUUCUGUGUACAUCUGAGAUGGUUCAGAGCUUGUUUAAUCAUUUGCAGCUCCCUGCUUGUUUGUAAGGAGAUGGGAAGCCAUAGUGAUGUCAAAAGGAUUUACUGAAAUACACAGACAGAGCAAACAAUCGACCCAAACCAAGAUAAUGUGACUGCAUGACCCCCAAACAAGCAAGAGUAGAGAUUAACAUUUAAAUUCAUACUUAAUUCUGUAACAACUAUAAAUAUCAUCUCAUCAAUUGCUAUCCCAAACUUUCAUUAGAGACAAAAUAAUCCAAAGGAUUAAGAGCUUCUAUCACAUUCCUCCACAUUCCCAAAUCCAUCAGCCAGCAUAGGAAGAAAUUCCAAUAUACAGCAAGUACAUACAGAGAUAAUCAGAGCUCAGUACAUGAAUAGAAGUAGCUUGGAUUUCCCAUGGCCUUAAGCAAAGAUAUUUCUCAAAGUAACCAUAAUAAGUAGCUGCAACACAUGCUUACAGUCUCCUCAAUACAACAGAUAGCAUGUUUUCAGACUCUCUGUGUUGAAAAUAAUAAUAAUUUUAAAAAAAAUCA
Gallus gallus (chicken) is the source of this 1915-nucleotide long non-coding RNA. NCBI's taxonomy places the organism in Eukaryota, Metazoa, Chordata, Aves, Galliformes, Phasianidae. The record is from Ensembl.